This 336-nucleotide unclassified non-coding RNA is filed under the name soil metagenome. RNAcentral describes it as "partial contains 5.8S ribosomal RNA, internal transcribed spacer 2, and large subunit ribosomal RNA". The stretch from base 2 to 121 matches the Rfam family "5.8S ribosomal RNA", at positions 35 to 154 of the family's 154-position model. The record is from RNAcentral.
GGAUGAAGAACGUAGCGAAAUGCGAUAAGUAAUGUGAAUUGCAGAAUUCAGUGAAUCAUCGAAUCUUUGAACGCACAUUGCGCCCGCCAGUAUUCUGGCGGGCAUGCCUGUUCGAGCGUCAUUUCAACCAUCAAGCCCCCGGCUUGUGUUGGGGACCUGCGGCUGCCGCAGGCCCUGAAAAGCAGUGGCGGGCUCGCUGUCACACCGAGCGUAGUAGCAUACAUCUCGCUCUGGGCGUGCUGCGGGUUCCGGCCGUUAAACCACCUUCAUAACCCAAGGUUGACCUCGGAUCAGGUAGGAAGACCCGCUGAACUUAAGCAUAUCAUAAGCGGAGGA